AUGGUUUUCAUUCUCAUAUUCGGAGUUCUGAAUAAAUGUGUGAUGUUAUGUUUCUCCUUGCCUUUCGCGAUCCGAACUGCCGCCUGAUUCUCGUUUGCUCAUCGCUAGUAACCACCUCGGUGAUUCCGGAAUAAUCCUGUUUUGCGAAACGUCAAUUCUUAACAACUGAUGUGUUGAAAUUCAUACUUCGCAAAUUGUUUUACCAAAAAUAGCUUUCCGCUAAUUUAUAAGAAAAUUUAUGCACACACACCAAUAGUACGCUAAUAAAAAAAUUGAUGGUA
This is a long non-coding RNA of Linepithema humile (Argentine ant), 281 nucleotides long. RefSeq lists it as uncharacterized. The record is from RefSeq and is a predicted model, not a curated record. Lineage: Eukaryota; Metazoa; Arthropoda; Insecta; Hymenoptera; Formicidae.